UUAUGUGAUCGUCUCUCGCAUAUCAAUAAGCGGAGGAAAAGAAACUAACAAGGAUUCCCCUAGUAACGGCGAGUGAAGCGGGAAGAGCUCAAAUUUGAAAUCUUAAAGGGUUUCCCUUUACGAAUUGUAGUUUAAAGAAGUGUUUUCUGUUGAGGUUUUGGUAAAAGUUCUUUGGAAUAGGACAUCAUAGAGGGUGAGAAUCCCGUAUUUGACCUUUACUUUCAACUUUGUGAUACACUUUCAAAGAGUCGGAUUGUUUGGGAAUGCAGUCCAAAAUGGGUGGUAAAUUUCAUCUAAAGCUAAAUAUUGGCGAGAGACCGAUAGCGAACAAGUACCGUGAGGGAAAGAUGAAAGAACUUUGAAAAGAGAGUUAAACAGUACGUGAAAUUGUCAAAAGGGAAGCGUUUGACACCAGUGUUGUUUUUCUGAAAAUCAAUUAAAGAACUGUUUAUGCUAAGCUGUUUAGACUUUAUCAGCUAACUGUUUAGUUUUGAGCUUUUCUUUAAUGCACUUUUCAGUUAACAAGUCAACAUCAAUUUCUUUUGCUGUAAAAAAGCUUGAGGAAGGUGGCUUGAGAUUCGUCUUAAGUGUUUAUAGCCUCUUGCUUAUGCAGUCGGAGAGAUUGAGGUCUGCAGCGUAGAUCCUUCGGGGCUAUAUGCAUUUGUGCUAAGUUAUAGCAUUUUAUAGACAACUUGCUGACUAUGAUUUGUCUUGUAGCUUACUCGCUUAUGUUAUUUUACCUACGUUUAGGAUGUUGAGCGCAUGUCUCUCUCU
Molecule: ribosomal RNA, 774 nt
Filed under: uncultured Neocallimastigales
Lineage: Eukaryota; Fungi; Neocallimastigomycota; Neocallimastigomycetes; Neocallimastigales
Description: partial large subunit ribosomal RNA
Rfam family: Eukaryotic large subunit ribosomal RNA
Source: RNAcentral